UGCAUUUCUUGUUUUCAGCAUCUUUUCAGAAUGUAGCCAACAAUUGGAAGAAGGCCAGCUAUACUUCUGACAUAAACUCAGAACCUGAAAUUGCUGGAAAAAGGAUUCCCAAAAAGAAAACAAGUACAGAUCAUAAAUACUCAUCAGACGACGAGGCAGCAGAACAAGCACCCAUUAAAAAAAGAAAAGCUGCAAACAAAGCAAGUGUUCCACCUGCACCAAAACCUCCAGCCAUUCCAAAACUUAACAAAAAAGGUCCUAAUGUGCAACCUCAGGUUUCACAGAGCAGAGCAGUAAACGCUCUCAGCAACUCAUGUGUCAAUCAGCAACAAUGGGACACGGAAGACCAACAACAGACCGGGUGUGAGAGUCUCCCCAGCUUCCAAG
Carassius carassius (crucian carp) is the source of this 387-nucleotide long non-coding RNA. RefSeq lists it as uncharacterized. The record is from RefSeq and is a predicted model, not a curated record. Lineage: Eukaryota; Metazoa; Chordata; Actinopteri; Cypriniformes; Cyprinidae. The transcript is spliced from 4 exons.